GUUAUAGGGUCAAGUGACUAAGAGCAUGUGGUGGAUGCCUUGGCGAUUACAGGCGACGAAAGACGUGAUAGCCUGCGAUAAGCUUCGGGGAGCUGGCAAAUAAGCUUUGAUCCGGAGAUUUCUGAAUGGGGAAACCCACCUCGCAAGAGGUAUCGCAUACUGAAUACAUAGGUAUGCGAGGCGAACCGGGUGAACUGAAACAUCUCAGUAGCUCGAGGAAAAGACAUCAACCGAGAUUCCGAAAGUAGUGGCGAGCGAAAUCGGAAGAGCCUUCUAGUGAUAGCACGACUGUUAGCAAAACGGGAUGGAAAGCCCGGCCAUAGCAGGUGAUAGCCCUGUAUGCGAAAACAGACGUGUGGUACUAAGUUAGAGA
RNAcentral lists this ribosomal RNA (373 nucleotides) under Acidovorax sp. HMWF018. RNAcentral describes it as "bacterial LSU rRNA". It matches the Rfam family "Bacterial large subunit ribosomal RNA", at positions 1 to 413 of the family's 2925-position model. The record is from RNAcentral. Lineage: Bacteria; Pseudomonadati; Pseudomonadota; Betaproteobacteria; Burkholderiales; Comamonadaceae.